This 497-nucleotide ribosomal RNA is filed under the name uncultured bacterium. RNAcentral's name for it is "partial 16S ribosomal RNA". It matches the Rfam family "Bacterial small subunit ribosomal RNA", at positions 28 to 507 of the family's 1533-position model. The record is from RNAcentral.
GAUGAACGCUGGCGGCGUGCCUAAUACAUGCAAGUCGAGCGAACGGACGAGAAGCUUGCUUCUCUGAUGUUAGCGGCGGACGGGUGAGUAACACGUGGAUAACCUACCUAUAAGACUGGGAUAACUUCGGGAAACCGGAGCUAAUACCGGAUGAUAUUUUGAACCGCAUGGUUCAAAAGUGAAAGACGGUCUUGCUGUCACUUAUAGAUGGAUCCGCGCUGCAUUAGCUAGUUGGUAAGGUAACGGCUUAUCAAGGCAACGAUGCAUAGCCGACCUGAGAGGGUGAUCGGCCACACUGGAACUGAGACACGGUCCAGACUCCUACGGGAGGCAGCAGUAGCGAAUCUUCCGCAAUGGGCGAGAGCCUGACGGAGCAACGCCGCGUGAGUGAUGAAGGUCUUCGGAGCGUAAAACUCUGUUAUUAGGGAAGAACAUAUGUGUAAGUAACUGUGCACAGCUUGACGGUACCUAAUCAGAAAGCCACGGCUAACUACGUG